UGCUGCAUGGCUGUCGUCGGCUCGUGUCGUGAGAUGUUGGUUAAGUCCCGCAACGAGCGCAACCUUGUCUUUAGUUGCCAUCAUUUAGUUGGGCACUCUAAAGAGACUGCCGGUGUCAAACCGGAGGAAGGUGGGGAUGACGUCAAGUCCUCAUGGCCUUUAUGACCAGGGCUACACACGUACUACAAUGGCCGGUACAAAGGGCAGCCACUUAGCGAUAAGGAGCCAAUCCCGUAAAGCCGGUCUCAGUCCGGAUUGGAGUCUGCAACUCGACUCCAUGAAGUUGGAAUCGCUAGUAAUCGCAGAUCAGCACGCUGCGGUGAAUACGUUCCCGGGCCUU
RNAcentral lists this ribosomal RNA (340 nucleotides) under uncultured Desulfocapsa sp. Its description in RNAcentral is "bacterial SSU rRNA". It matches the Rfam family "Bacterial small subunit ribosomal RNA", at positions 1039 to 1382 of the family's 1533-position model. The record is from RNAcentral. Lineage: Bacteria; Pseudomonadati; Thermodesulfobacteriota; Desulfobulbia; Desulfobulbales; Desulfocapsaceae.